RNAcentral lists this ribosomal RNA (1175 nucleotides) under uncultured bacterium. RNAcentral's name for it is "bacterial SSU rRNA". It matches the Rfam family "Bacterial small subunit ribosomal RNA", at positions 231 to 1395 of the family's 1533-position model. The record is from RNAcentral.
UCGCGGCCUCACAGCUUCGUUGGUGGGGUAAAUGGCCUACCAAGGCGUCGACGGGUAGCCGGCCUGAGAGGGUGGACGGCCACAUUGGGACUGAGAUACGGCCCAGACUCCUACGGGAGGCAGCAGUGGGGAAUAUUGCACAAUGGGCGCAAGCCUGAUGCAGCGACGCCGCGUGGGGGAUGACGGCCUUCGGGUUGUAAACUCCUUUCGUUAGGGACGAAGCCGCACCUUUUUUUGGGUGUGGUGACGGUACUUUGUUAAGAAGCACCGGCUAACUACGUGCCAGCAGCCGCGGUAAUACGUAGGGUGCGAGCGUUGUCCGGAAUUACUGGGCGUAAAGAGCUCGUAGGUGGUUUGUUGCGUCGUCUGUGAAAUUCCGGGGCUUAACUUCGGGGUGGCAGGCGAUACGGGCAUAACUAGAGUGCUGUAGGGGAGACUGGAAUUCCUGGUGUAGCGGUGGAAUGCGCAGAUAUCAGGAGGAACACCGAUGGCGAAGGCAGGUCUCUGGGCAGUAACUGACGCUGAGGAGCGAAAGCAUGGGGAGCGAACAGGAUUAGAUACCCUGGUAGUCCAUGCUGUAAACGGUGGGCGUUAGGUGUGGGGACCGGUUUGGUUUCUGUGCCGUAGCUAACGCAUUAAGCGCCCCGCCUGGGGAGUACGGCCGCAAGGCUAAAACUCAAAGGAAUUGACGGGGGCCCGCACAAGCGGCGGAGCAUGUGGAUUAAUUCGAUGCAACGCGAAGAACCUUACCUGGGUUUGACAUGCACCAGACGGUUGUAGAGAUACGUACCUCCCUUUGUGGUUGGUGUGCAGGUGGUGCAUGGUUGUCGUCAGCUCGUGUCGUGAGAUGUUGGGUUAAGUCCCGCAACGAGCGCAACCCUUGUCUUAUGUUGCCAGCACGUUUGGGUGGGGACUCAUGAGAGACUGCCGGGGUUAACUCGGAGGAAGGUGGGGAUGACGUCAAAUCAUCAUGCCCUUUAUGCCCAGGGCUUCACACAUGCUACAAUGGUUAGUACAACGCGCAGCAAACCUGUGAGGGUGAGCGAAUCGCUGAAAGCUAAUCUCAGUUCGGAUUGGGGUCUGCAACUCGACCCCAUGAAGUCGGAGUCGCUAGUAAUCGCAGAUCAGCAAUGCUGCGGUGAAAUACGUUUCCCGGGCCCUUGUUCCCACCCCCC